UGAGAGAGGACAAUGUCCCUCCAUUUUUUACCUUUGAUGUUCCUCUGAACAACUCUUCUAAAACAUGGUAGACUCUUCAUAUUAAAAACUGGGAAGAAAAAAAGGUAUCAACUGAGUACCAAUACAGACCUUUGGCUACCUGUUCUCCCUUGUUCUCAGCUUAUAACCAUCCUAUCUCCUUGUCCAAAAUACAUUUCCUUGAUGAUACUUUUCCCUCCACUUCUUGAAAAUAAGCCUAGUUACACCCACCAUUGCCCUUCACUCACCAUUCCAGAUUGUUCAGACUUCCAGUGUAUUGAAUGAUUCUGAACUAUGCAGCUUAAAUAAAAUAUGUUGGUAUUAAAAAGAUGGCUCUUAUCUUAGGGAACAACUUGGGAUCACUGAGAGAAAUAUAUAAUUUCCCAAACCAAAUCCAUCCAACACUCUUCCUCUUUUUCAAUUCUGGGUCCAGCUGAUUGUCCAUCUGCAAUAUUUGCCCAAGAUAUAUGUACUGAUGAUGCACUGACUCAGGUCAUAGUUCAAAUAAAGACAAUCUCUAUUUGGUUAUUCCUAUGUAUAUUACUAGCUCAUCCAGUUCUUGAAAUAAUACAAAAUAGUCCUGAAAGGAGCAUGCAAAAGACUUCAUCAUCUAUAAGAAAUCCCUCUUGUAUUUCAAUCCUCCAUGACUGUAGCAAGCAUCUUUGGUGAGCAAACAUUCUCUUUUUAUGCAUUGUUCAAUACCAAUAAUUAGAGGAUCAUGGAAUCAAGGUUUUUUUAUUAUAUCUUUUAAGGAAUUUUAUACAAUUCUAACAUAUUUGUGAGAGACAACUUAUUAGAGGAAACUCUUUAAGGUUGGGUUUUGCUUUAGUGGGUCAAAUUUUGGUUCUUAAAUAAUAAAAAAAAUAUAGGAUCUUGAAUUUUCCACAUAUUUCUUCUGUCAAUUAUAUGAUUAUGAAUAUGUUGUUUGCCAUAGAAAAUUUGUCUGCAGAAACCAGUCUAUUUCCUUCCUGUGUUAAUUUUUUUAUCUUCCAGAAAGACCUUCAAGAUAUAGUUGCUGAAGUCUUCCUUUGUCAUCUAUUUUUUAUUGUCCUCGGUCAGCAGAUAUCAUCUUCAUCCUUGAUAAUAUCUGAAGUCUUUCCAGCUUAUUAA
This 1128-nucleotide long non-coding RNA is filed under the name Monodelphis domestica (gray short-tailed opossum). RNAcentral's name for it is "lncRNA (ENSMODG00000038573.1)". Lineage: Eukaryota; Metazoa; Chordata; Mammalia; Didelphimorphia; Didelphidae. The record is from RNAcentral.